GUUAGCCCUGGACCAAGUCUGGAGAUGGCCAUACAAGGUAAGACCGUCCAUAGGGCGGCGCCAUCUCCACCAAAAGGGCUUGGUCUUAGGGUGGAGGC
The submitters of this non-coding RNA (98 nucleotides) gave its source as unclassified sequences. The record is from Rfam.